AGGCGUAUAGCUCCAACGGUAGAGCAUCGGAUUCCAAAUCCGAGUGAUGGGGGUUCGAAUCCCUCUGCGCCUGCCA
RNAcentral lists this transfer RNA (76 nucleotides) under Sulfurovum sp. PC08-66. RNAcentral's name for it is "tRNA-Trp". It matches the Rfam family "tRNA". From Rfam's summary of the family: Transfer RNA (tRNA) molecules are approximately 80 nucleotides in length. The record is from RNAcentral. RNAcentral also lists the same sequence under 1 other name. Lineage: Bacteria; Pseudomonadati; Campylobacterota; Epsilonproteobacteria; Campylobacterales; Sulfurovaceae.